CAACAACAACUUGAAUCCAGCUUCAACAACCGACAACUUCAACUCUCAACAUAAAACACAACACCAAUACUCCAAUAUCAAAAUAAAAAAAAAUUAACGCGAAACAACAACAACCAAUGCAUCAAUAACAGUAAUUUCAAAACAACAGUAAAUCAAGUCAACAAAGACAACUAUUAAUCUGGAUUUUCUCAAAAUCGUUCGAUCUGAUAUGAACACGGACGAUCAUGAUUAUUCAUUUUUAAAUUUCAAAUUUUUCAUCCUCAAUUUCUUAUUUGUUUCCUCCUUAAAAUCAGUCCAAAACCUCCUAUAAGUACCCAUUGAAGAACAAAAGGGAGGGAGGAGGAUUUUGAGCAAAAAUUUGAGGAUUCGGGAGGUGCGUGCUUCUAAUCCUACACAAUCAAAAAUCCUAAAAGAAAUAGACUCAAAAACUCGAUUAAAAAAGAUUAAACUCUGAAGGAUCGGGAUUCAAACUCCGGUGGUGAAAGUCCAUCGCCAAGGUUCGUUUGUCCUAGUUUGCUGCCCUAAAAAAGGUGAAUACUUCAUCCUCUUUUACAUUUUCUUAUAUUUGUGUGUAAAAAAGAAAAAAUUCAAACUUAACUUUAUGGCGAAUGCCGUGUUGGCAUGCGAUUUUUUUUAUUUUUUAUUUUUUACUUUUUGAAAUUGGUCUUGUUUGAAUUCAAAACGGCCAUCGAUGUUAGUCUAAAAUUCUUCAAUUUUUGGUAAUAUUUGUUGAGGAAGAUUAAAAAUAAGAAAAAUUCACAAAACGAUUUGAAGGGUCGUUGCACAGGCAAACUCUAAGAUUUGUUUGAUUAAAUCAUUCUUGUUCUCUAAAAUUUUCUGAGUAGGAUCUCACUUAACCCUUUCUAGUGGAUAAGGAAAAUUAAUUUUUGGAAGCAAUACUGUGUCAACAAUAUUCCUUGUUAAUGACUUGUACUUAUCACGCCACAUAGUACCAAGGUGGUACUCUUCAAUAGGGUUGUCAACAGAGGUGUAAGCAUACUUAACAAGUAGAUUAAUGUCCAAGUUAAAAUUGACUGCAACAAGAAGAUUAUUUCUUAUAGCAUUACAAAAUUUGGGGAAGACAUGAAUUUCACCGGCAGUGAAUGAGUACUCCAUUUGAUGGAAACAAAUCAAAGGCUAAAUUUAUGUUGGUAAUAAAAAUAAGUUUGCCAUUGGAGUACUCUACUCGUGUAUUUUUUUUUUCCAUCCUUGUCCGGUGCCCGCAUUGGAACCCCGACUAAUCCGAAUCGCGCGUUGCAUGGCCAUUAAGGUGGCAGCUCUCCUAACAGAGUUUUCUUCAUACCUAGAGUCGAACCAAAUCCUACCCCAAAAGAAUAAUAUUAAAGAAGUUUCCAUAUUCAAAAUGUAUGUAUUUCAUAUUCAUUAGAUAUUUUCUAACGAGAUGUCUAAGAGUGCCUUAAAAUUCUAAAUAAGAACAUCAACUGUUGUUUUGAAGUAAUAAAUUAAAUGCAAAGAAAUAUUCAUUGGUGGUUCCAUAUUCAUACUUUUAUCAUUUUUAAAAUAUCUUUCAUAUUAGACAAAAUAAAAAAUUUAAUUAUUUUCUAAUAUUUGCUAUUUAUCUACUAAAAUUUUGGCUUUUUGGGGGAAUAAAAAUUUUGGUUAUCUGAAUAAGGUAGGAAAUUUAAAAUUUAGAACUUUAAAAUAACUUAUAGUUUUACCAUAUAUAUAAUUAAUCCUACUAAGCAAUCUCAUUAUAUUCUGAUUUUAGUAUAUUCAUAGAAAUAGUAAUUAUUUCACAAAACACAUUUGGUACAUAUUAAGAAUUAUAUACAACUAAUUUAAGUAAUUACUUAUUAAAUUUUUCAUGCAACUAUAAUUGAAUCAUUGGAUGGACAUAAUAGUCCGUCAAACAUUACUAAAAGCAUAUAUAAUGAAUUAUGGAACAUUUUGGUCUGAUGUGUAAAUAGCUAAUGCAUAACAAAAUAAUUUUCAACUCGAUUAUAUUAUUCAUAAAAUUUAUAUGAUUUUUUAAAAGUAAUGUUCAUUAUAUAAUGUACGAACAAAAAAAUAAUCUAAGUUUUUGAUGAAGUCCUAAAUUUUGGAUUUUAAAGUCGCUUAGAUUUUAUCUCGUGUAAAUUAUUUUUCUUUAGAGCUUUUGUGUUAAUUAAAAUAAAAAUUAUUAAAUAUGUUUAAUAAUCGCGCUAGAUUGUAGGUGUGAGACACAUCUAUAUCUAUAAUCUAUAAUUAUUUAUAAUUUAUAUUUAUAAUUUAUAAUAUAUUAAAAGUGUGAAGUCCCUUAGAAAAGUGAUUUGAACAUUUUACCCUUCAUUAAAAACUCCAUAAUUGACAAAACUGUCAUUUACUAUUAUAUUAUAUAUAAAAAGUUCAAAUCACUUCUCUAAGGGUCUUCACACUUUUAAUAUAUCAUAGAUUAUAAAUAUAAAUAGAUAUAAAUUAUAAAUAUAGAUAUAGAUAUAUAGUCAUUUGAAUAUAAUACAUUCAGUUAUAUGCUCGUGUAAAGAACUUUUGUCUAAAUUUAAGAUUUAAAGCUAAUUCUUAUUAAUACAUGAAAACAGAAGUAUUAUAUUGUUACCCGUACUUUGCACACGAUAUACCUUUAUAUGAUUUGGUCAUCCGAAUGUAGGUUAUGAUUAUGAUACUUAAUUAUUUUAAAUUGAAUAAUUAAAAUCUUAAAUUACAAUGACAUGUUUAAGAAGACUGCUUGAAUAUGAUAAAGUCCAAUUUCAAAUUACAUUCUAUUAAGGGUGUGUUCGGUAAGAAGGAAAACAUAUUUUUAAAAAUGUUUUUUGAUUUUCGUGUUUGAUUGACUAAAAUAUGUUUGGAACGUAUUUUUCAGAUAUACUUAUUUUUCUCAAAUUUACAGAAAAUGAGGGUAUAGAAAUUAGGAAUUGGAUCUCAAAUCGAGGUCGAAAGUUAAGUCCUGAGUUGGGAUCUCCGGUAGAGUGUCGAAUUUGGUGAUCAAGCUCAACUCUAGAGUGGGGUUCAUGUCGAGGUUGGGUCCCGGGUUUGGUUUGGAGUAAGGAGUUGGAUAUUAAGGUUUGGAAUUAGUCAUGAUUCAGGAUACAGAUCAAGUACCAUAUCGGAUCAUGAAAAAUCAAGAUCUCGGGUCAUGUAUCGAGUCAGGGUCAGAAGCGAGUUUUAGGGUUUAGAGUUGAGUCAGGAGUCGAUCACGAGUUGGGGUGCAUAUUCGGAUCUCAUUUCGGGUCAAGAAUCAAGAUCCCACUUCAAAUGUCGAGUUAGAAUCGAGUUUUAGGAUUUGGAGUUGGGUCAAAAGUUGAGUCACGAGUUAGGGUACAGAUAAGGUCCAACGUCGAUUCAUCAAGAAUCAGGAUCUCAAGACAUGAGUUGAGUCAGUGUUGGAAUUUAGAUUUUAGGGUUUGGAGGUGGGUCAAGAGUCGAGUCAUGAGUUGGGGUACAAAAUCGGGUACCAUGUCGAGUCAAAAAUUAAGAUCCCAGGUCAUGUGUAGAGUUAGGAUCGGAAGUCGGGACACGAGUCGAGGUAGAAAUCUAAUGUCAGGGUUGGGAGUGCAUUUUUGUACCUCAUAAAAUAAAUCCAUAUAGUUUUUAAAGAUUAUUAAUAUUUUUUAUGAUGAUUGAAGUUGAUAAGAGAUAACGUACAAUGCACGUUCAUAGAGACUAGUCUAUAAUCUAUAUCUAUAUCUAUAUCUAUAUCUAUAUCUAUAUCUAUAUCUAUAUCUAUAUAUAGGAAAAGUGUGAAGAUCCUUAGAAAAGUGAUUUGAACAUUUUGUCCUUCAUUAAAAGACUCUCCUUUAGACAAAACUGUCUUUUCACUAUUUUCUUCAAUUUAUUUUUUAAUUAUUUUUAUUAUAUUAACUAGACUCCUAAGAUAUAUGAGACUCUUAAAAUAUAUGGAAGGAGAAUCAAUUGAUAUUUUCCUUUGUACUGAUUAAUUAGAGAAAUACUCCUAAAAUAGGAUAAAAAAAUACUCCUAAAAUAAGAUUCUAUUAAGAAAAUACUUCUAUAAAUAUCGAGAUGCACGUUAAACUAGACAAAAACUGGUUUACUUAUUGUAAAAAUAUAAUUGAUGCUUAUUUGACUUGAUUCGGUUGCAUGUCUAGAUUGAUGGAUGCUUAAUUUUCUAACCCUCAACUUCUUCACUAUUUUUUUCAACAUAAUAGAUUCAACGUGUGUGCAUAUAUAUAUCUUCUUUGUUUUCAUUCAAGUCAUUUUUUAGUAUCAAAAUUUCAUUCAGACGAGAAUUAUUUUUAUCAAAACUGAUACUUUGUGAUUAUUAUUGUAUUAUUUUGUUGUACUUUACAGGUCGUAGAUGAUAAGUGGUAGAUGAAUGUCGGUCGGCUUUGGAAAUUUUUUUUAGGUAAAGGUUAGGUUUAAUUGUAUUAUUUUUAAAUCUCUGUUUUGAAAUUUUUUUUUGUGUAAAAGUAAAGUUUAGUUGUAUUAUUUUGAUAUCUCUAUUGUCGUAUUAUUUUGUUAUAGUUUACAUGUGGUAGAUGAGUGUCAAACAACUUUGAGGAAAUUUUUGUGUAAAUGUUAGAUUUAAUUAUAUUGUUUUGAUGUCUCUAUCGUCGUAUUGUUUUGUUGCAGUUUCAAGGUUAGAUUUAAUUAUAUUGUUUUGAUGUCUCUAUCAUCGUAUUGUUUUGUUGCAGUUUACAGGUGGUAAAUGACGAUCGACUUUGAGAAUUUUUUUGGUAAAGGUUAGGUUUAAUUAAAUAAAUUCUUCAAAAGAUGUUGAGUUUAAUUAUUGUAUUAAUUUUUAUUAUGUAAACAAAUAUUCUAUUUAAUGUAACGUUUGAACUCAAUAAAGUGAGUUACACGCGCGAGUCGCGUACACCUUAAAAAAUACGAAGCACCUUAGUGAACUAUUGUUCAACUUCUUUACUUUUUAAAAUAAAUUUUACAUUCAAUAAAAUUGUACUUAAAGGUACUCCAUUAAUAUUUAUGACUUUGAAAUAAUUACAAUUUUUAGUUAUCAAAUCAUUCUUUGAACUGUGAGUGAAAUCCUAAUAAUUAGGAGUUAAGACUUUAAAGUUAAUUAAAUUUUACCUUGUAUAAAUAAAAGUUUAGUAGUUGAUAAUUUUUCCUUUUACGUAAAUAUCCAAACUAGGAAUGUAAUAAUAACCAAACAAUUAUAGUUUAUAAUUUUCGUUUUACAUAGACACCCAAUAGGAAUGUAAAUAGGAACAUAUUAAUUGAAUCUAAUAAAACAUUUCAAGUUUCAUUAAAUAUACACUUUUCUGCAAAAUUAAAUAUUUUACUUAUUAUAUUUAUGUUAAUUUAUAUAUUUUCUUUCCUAAAAAAUGUACCUAUGUCAUCAAUAUGUAAUUGGUAUUUUGAUUGUCUAGAACAUUUUAAAUUUAAUUCUAAUUUAUUUUAUAAAAGAUAUUAGGUUUAGUUGAAUAAUGCUAUAUAACUACAAUUUCUUUCACGAUGUUCCUUGUUGUGUUAGGUCUAUUUUUAACAUGUACCCAUCGUAUCAUUAAGAAACUUGAAUCACAAGAAUGCUUAUGUAAUAACAUAGUGAUAUGAAAUGAUUUUCACGACGACAUUAUACAUGUAAAAUAAUAAAGAGUCAAUAGGUCUUCAAACAUGUAUUGAUCCUCAAAAUUUAAUUAUAACUUCUAGAAAUAAAUGAUGAACUUUAAAAAAUAAUCGAGAAAAAUAAAUUUCAAUAGAAAUAUUGAAAAGUGGGCUUUAAAAAUCAUUCAAAAAGUAAAUUGUAUUAUGUUUAUGAUUCAUAACAAUAAUAAAUCAAGCCAGGUGUCAAAUAAUUUCAAACAUUAAACCAUAUUUAUGACAACAUAAUCGCAUGUGGAUAACUAUAGGUUUUAUUUGUCAACUGAUUUUUGGAACGACGCUGUAUGAUGGUUAGGUUAUGAGUACCAUAUUGCCUUUUUUAUUUGGUUAAUUGGGUUUAAACCCAUACAAACUGACAAAAUAAACAAUAAAUACUUAUCAAUUCAAUAGAAUAUGUAUAUAUGAGGCCUUGAAAAAAAUUACAUGGAUAUAAAGUGUCUUAGUCAAAAGAUUCAUGCAGACACCUUUACACCAUAAUAUUAUUUUGUGAUAAUUAAGUGUUGCAACACCAAAAUUGUGUGAAAAAACACACACGAUUGAAUGAUUUUGUAUAUACUGUGCAUAAUUUUACAUGUGUCAUACGCUAAUUACGUGAAUGAUUGCAACAUCAAAAUUGUAUUACCAUAAGGCUCAAGCAAUAUGCAAAUCAAUCCUCGGGGACGUGAAUGUUAUGUGGGAUAGGGCGCCAGCUGCAUCACAGAAACUGCUAGAGAAGUGUUGGGUGUUUCGAGGGGUCGAGCAGGACGUCAUAAGAGGGAUUGGUGGUGGAAUGAUGAAGUGAAGAAGAAAGUGGAGUUUAAGAAGGGGGUGUAUGUUAAGUUGAUUGAGAGUAAAGAUGAAGAGGAGAAGCGGGUGAAUAGGGAGGUUUACAAAGUAGCAAGGAAGGAGGCUAAGUUAGCAUUACGACUGCUAAGUCGGCAGCAUUCGAGAGCUUGUAUGCGGGGUUAGAGGAGAAAGGCGGGGAAAAGAGGUUGUAUAGGCUUGCUAAGGCUAAGGAGCGGAAGGGUCGUGACCCCGAUCAAGUAAAAUGCAUUAAGGGGGAGGAUGGUAGUGUUUUGGUGGAGGAUGUUCACAUUAAGAAGAGAUGGCAGGAGUACUUUCAUAGACUUUUGAGUAAGGAGGGGGACAGAGGCAUUGAGUUAGGGAAGUUGGAGCACUCGGAGGAGAGCUGUGAUUUCAGUUAUUGUAGGCGUUUUAAGGUUGAGGAGGUCAGAGAGGCGAUUCGUAGGAUGUGGAGGGGUAGGACGACGGGGCCUGACGUGAUUUUAGUAGAUUUUUGGAAGUAUGUUGGUAUGACAGGUUUAAGGUGGUUGACUAAUCUAUUUAACGGCAUUUUCAAGACUGCAAGAAUGCCUGAGGCUUGGAGAUGGAGUUCGAUGAUUCCGUUGUAUAAAAACAAGGGUGACAUUCAGAGUUGCAACAACUAUAGGGGUAUUAAGCUGUUGAGUCACACUUAGGGCUGCAUAUCGGUCGGUUCGGUUCGAUUUUGAAAAUUAUCGAUUUUACUUGUUCAUUAUCGGUUUGUAUAUAUGCUAAACCAUUAAAGAACCAUUAAGAUAUCGGUUAAUCGGUUAUCGGUUUAUUGAUUUUUCAUUGUUAUUGGUUGGUUAUCGGGUGAACCGUUAACAAUAAUGUUUACUUCCUACGACCCUACUGCUUUAAUUAAAAUCGCAGUACAAAUAUAUGGUCAAAUCAUCUUUAACUGCAAAAUGAUGUUAUUCCGUAGAUACACACCAGAGGAGAACAAGUAAAACAAAGCUAACAAAAUCAACCUAACAACCUGGACUUGUUCAAACUAAAAGUUACAAUAUCACCAGGUUCAAGGUCAUUCAAGAAAAUUUUGUUUUUUCCUUUUCAGGGAGUAAUAAGAACUUAUAAGAAUUGUCCCGGAGAUGGCUUCUCCUAUGCAAAGUUAUAGGGGCCUAUAACGAUAUUUUUCAUUAAGCAGAAUCAGAGAGGCAAGAUUGGAAGAUGCAUAAAGAGACACAUUAAUUUGCUAUGUUAUGAAGGAUGUUGAUUAGCAUAAGAAAAGGUAACUGAACAGAAAUAAGUUAAUUUCUGAUUCUCAAACAGUGAAGAAGAUUUGACAUUUAAAAUAAUUUCUUGAUAACAGUGAUUGAGGCAUUGAGCAGUAAGAAUGAGAUAGUGUGAAUCGUCAUUACCUAUUGAGCGCAACAAAUCAUCUUUGGUGUGAGCUUGAAUACCUCUUCUUGGUGUGAAUACUAAGACGAGAGUGAGAGACGACUGACGAGGAGGCACUAAGAGAGUAAGAGGCAACUAGCGUCUGGAAAGAGUGUGUGUGAAUUGUGAAUUGUGAAUAAAGGAUAAACCCUAAGUGGCUAAUUCACUUAUUUCACUUUAGAAAGGGGUAUUAGGCUAUUGGCCAUUGGGAAUUAAUUGGGGCCUUUAGGCCAGACAGUAAUGGGAAUAAAAUAAAUGGGUUGAGUAGUGAGCACUAGAGUGUAAUAGUGUAUUAUUUAUUUAGGGUUAUCGGGCCACCCGAUAAAAAUAUUAAAUAAACCGAGGCCCAAACCAAUAAACCAAUUAUAAAAAUCUUAGAACUAAAACCCGACCCGACAGGUAAAAAAACUGAACCGUUAACUCGAUAAAUAUAUUAUCAGUUCGGGUUAACAGUUUGAACCAAAAUCUGUAUACCCCUAGUCACACUAUAAAGAUUUGGGAGAGAGUGGUUGAGCGGAGAUUGAGGAGGGUCGUGUCCGUUUUGGAGAAUCAGUUUGGAUUUAUGCCUGAUCACUCAAUGACAGAGAAAAUCCACCUGGUGAGGAAAUUGGUAGAGCAGUAUAGAGAAAUAAAGAGGGAUUUACACAUGGUGUUCAUCGACUUGAAAAAGGCAUAUGAUAAAGUCCCAAGGGAAGUUCUUUGGAGAUGUUUGGAGGUGAGAAGGGUCCCGAUAGCAUACAUCAGAGCUAUUAAGGACAUGUACGAUGGAGGAAAGACUCGGCUGAGGACAGUCAAAGGAGACUCAGAGUAUUUUUUGAUCAAGACAGGGUUGCAUCAGGGAUCGACUCUUAGUUCGUUCCUUUUUGCAUUGGUGUUAAACGUGUUGACGUGGAGUAUUUAGGGCGAGGGGGUGGGGGGGAGGGGGGAGGUGUAAAUGACAAAUUGGAGGUUUGGAGACAAACCCUUGAGUCUAAGGGGUUUAGGUUGAGUAGGUCCAAGACGGAGUAUUUGGAAUGCAAGUUUAGUGACUUCAGGCAGGAGGAUGAAGUGGUGGUGAGGUUGGACUCCCAAGAUGUUUGUAAGAGGGAUAGUUUUAAGUAUUUUGGGUCUAUGAUUCAGGAGAAUGGUGAGAUUAAUAAGGAUGUCUCUAAAUGUAUUAGAGCAGGUUGGAUGAAGUGGAGGCUCGUCUCGGGAGUGUUGUGUGAUAAAAAGGUGUCUCUUAAGCUUAAAGGAAAAUUCUAUAAAGUGGCAGUCCGUCCGGCCAUGUUGUAUGGAGCGAAGUAUUGACCAGUCAAGCACUCCCACAUUCAAAAAUUGAAGGUGGCAGAAUUGAGAAUAUUGUGUUGGAUGUGUGGGCUUACUAGAGGGGACAAAUUUAGGAAUGAUAUUAUUCGAGAGAAGGUGGGAGUGGCUUCAGUGAAGGACAAUAUGUGGGAAAGAAGGAUGAAAUAGUUUAGGCAUGUGAUGAGGAGGGGCGCGGAUGCCCCAGUUUAUAGGUGUGAGAGGCUAACUUUGGAUGGCUUCAGAAGGAGUAGAGGUAGGCCGAAGAAAUACCGAAGGGAGGUAAUUAGACAUGACAUGAAGCAGCUUCAGCUUACUAAGGACAUGACCCUAGAUAGAAAGGUAUGGACAUCGCAGAUAAGGGUAGAAGGCUAGUAUGAGUGUGUGGGUUGUAGCAAGAAGUCGGGAGAGAUCUUGUGUAGCUGGGUUAAUAAUCCUAGGAUUGUGUACAUAUAUGUCUUUGGUAUGUGAGCGUAUGUUACUACUAGGUGGGUGUCCUAUUUCUUAUUUCUUAGUUCCUAUUUUCUCUUUUUGUGUUGCCCUUAUUUCUCGUAUUUCGUAUUUCUCUGAUUUCUAUUUUAUUGUUUCUUAUUCCUUAUUUCUGUUAUGUCAUCCAUCCCCUUAUUUACUAUUCUUUAUCUUGAGCCGGGAGUCUAUCAGAAAUAGUCUCUCUACUUCUUCGAAGUUAGCGAUAUGGACUGCGUACAUCUUACCCUCUCCAAAUCCCACUUUGUGGGAAUACACUGGGUUUGUUGUUGUUGUUGACAGAGCAAUCCAAAUGGACAAAGAAAUAUAUAAUUGGAAUAACAUCUAUACAAAAAUAUCAUGCGAACACUCCAUUAUAUAUUUGUACCUCAUCUAUUCACCUUCAUAAUUUCAGAAAAUGUCUAAUAAUUUUGAUCUCCAUAAAAAACGUCCCUUCAUUUAGAAGAAAAUGGAGGUAUGAUAAAACUCCAGAGAUAUACUUGAUAAUACAAAGAGAAAAAAGAAAAGAUAGAAGAUUGAUCAAUGUAAAGAUUUAUGUAGAGUUAACCUAGCAAAUUGUUCCAUAGAGAAAUGGGCAUUUGAUCUUAUUAAUUACCUUUGUGUAUGAUUUUAAGAUUGGUCGCUCGAUCUCUUUAAAAAUAUUGAUCUAUGUGUAUGGGUCUUUGUGUAUGAUUUUAAGAUUGGUCGCUCUAACUCUUUAAAAAUAUUGAUAGAUGUGUGUGGGAUCCUCUAAAAGUAAUAGUUCAUAUUUCUUAAAGGAUUCGACAUAGAUACGACAAUGGUUUAGAAGUUUGAAGAGUCUGAGCAACAUCUAUAGAUCUCAGGUGUCCUGAAUAGUUCUCAAAUUCAAAAUUGUAAUGACCUCUCUAGUCGCUUUGUGAAAUUUAUUUGUCUUCCCUAUUUUAUUUCUUUCCAUAGUUUGUAUACGUCAAUUAUGACUUAGGAGAUAGGAAAUUCUUGAUUGGAAGUGAUUUAAGUCAUUACUUAGGUUCUUGAGUUUUAAUAAAGUUAAGCCUGAUCAUGGUCAAUCUUCAAUCAAGAUGACUCCGGAUUAGUCUUUUAGUGAUUCUAAUAGCUUCAGAAUGUAUUUUUUUUUAGUCAAUUUACAUAGUUAAUUUAUUUUUGUGAAACUCCAAACAAAUGUUGAGAAUUUAUUUAAAAGUUUUGGAAAUUUUGGAUAAUUAAUUUAAUUAGUAAUUUAAUGGGUCAAACUCACAGUUUACUUACUUAUGUGGUUAAUACAAAAAUAAACUUCAGUGAAAAGGGAUUUGGAAUUAAUAAUAACAAUAACACUAGAUAUAUGGAGCAAGGAGGGGGGAGGGCAUGACACUGCAGUGGUAUUCUUUUUUUUUUUUUUAUCUCUUCACAUCAUUGGAUUCGUGGAGAUCCCUACUCCGUACAAUUUCAGGUUCGUCUAUAAAUUUUGUAGAUUUAUUUUAUUCUUACUGUUACAGUGAUAUACCUAUAAUGGUGAGGGUGAAGAAAGAUCAACGGUGUCAACUAAUUAAGAGGAAUUUUGUAACUCGUGAUUUUAGAUUGGGUCACUGUAAUGUGAAUUAUUCACUUUUUUAAUUACGGAUAGAAAUUAAUGGGGUGUAUAAUGGUGCAGAUGAUUGGCAAUAAUGGUGUAGGUAAAGAGAAUGAGUGUUAUUUUGUCUUUAUUAAUAUUCCACUCAAGAAAUAUUUCAACUCCAUUAAUAAUAAUACUUUAAUAAUAAUUUUCAUGGAAAGACAACAGAGAAUGAAAUCAAAGAAAAACUACAUGCAUGGUACAUAAUUUGUAACAGUAUUCCAUAUUUAGCUUCAGGUUGGCAUAUUUUGCAUAUGAUUACCCACCGAUAUUUGACAAUCUUAGGUUUUAGGCCUAAAAUUCUUAGAGUAAGAAUUUAUAAAAUGGGUAUCAAUUAGUACUCUUAUGAGGAUUAUAUAUUUGGAUAUAUUUGAACCAUUCGAAAGUUUUACAAAAGGCCAAGGCCCUUGCAAAGUAGCUUGCAUCAAGGCUCUUCGAUUGAGGUAUUUUAUGAUUUAAUUGGAGUUUAGACUUGAUUUAAUUGUGAGUAUGAUCCUAAAUUAGAUGCUUGUUGAUUGAUCAUUGGACAUACUUGAAUUUGAUGAUAUUUGAACUAUUGACACUUUAUGAAUAACUAUUUAAAAUUGAACUUGAUCGAAUUGCCUUAUGAUUUUAAGUGCACUUGUAAAGUUUGUACGUUGUAUUAUAUCCUGAGAGAUAGUGUGAAGUUGGUAAAAGAUAUAUAAUAUGGUUAUGGAGGAUAGAGUACCAUACCGAUAUGAAUAUGGAUAUUGAUAUUACUUAUAUAUGGAGGAUCGAAUGCCAAGUCGGUACAGUGUAUGGACAUAGAUUAUCCCCUGAAGGUCAUGACUAGUUGGGUAAAAAUAAGUCCCAUAGCAUGUGUGUACAGAUUUGUGUUGAUUUUGAGAGGUUGUGUGGUGUAAUAAGCUAAUAACGAGCUAAUGACGUUCUAUUUGCAAGGUUUAUAAGGACAUAGUUGUUACUUAUGGUAUUAUUGUUGAUUUUGUGGAUGUUUAGAGUAUGGUUGAUACUCUUGAUAGUUAUAUGGCCUAUCCGUAACCAUUUUUUGGCCUAUCAUUAAUGCAUUUGUUGAUUCAUUGAAUGCUUGCUAUGUGUUGAUGUCUGUCUACUUAUUAUUUGAUUUAUGUCGUAUACAUGCUAUUAAAUUAUGAUUUAUGUCGUAUACAUCUAUUAAAUUAAGUUGGCUUAUGAUACCUACCAGUACAUAGUGGUUUGUACUGAUACUACAUUAUGAUCUUCUUUUGUUAAGUGCAGAAAGUGCAUCAGAGGCUCAGACAUGACCUUAUCUCUAGCGUUUAAUAGCAUAUCUCGAUCCAAGGAUGAGCACUCCAUCCCCAGGACGACAUGGAUCAUCAUAUUAGUUCUUGUCCAUCUUUCGCGCAAUGAGACAUCUUUAUUUUCUUUAUUCUGGAUAUCUCUUUUAGACAUAGUUUUUAUUUUAUAAGUUCUUGUACAAUGACUUUCAGAUCUUGGGGAUUUUUAUAAGUAACUUUUAUGAUUUUGGCAUUAGUAAUGAUUAGACUUGGAUCAUUUAUUCUUAAGUUGAUUCAUUCACUCGUCUUGCUACAUCAGAACUGUUCAACAGACACGUUAUAAUAAUCUUGUCUUAAUUUUUACUAAAUGAUUGGGUAAUAUUAGAUGUUUCUCCCAUAGAAAGAUUAGUGUGGGUUCCACUCAUGGCCAUUUGGAUCCUGACAAAGUUUGUAUCAGAGCCCUAAGUUUAUCAAUCUCGUCGUACAAGAACAUGUCUAGUAGAAUCUUGCAGAACGGUACGGAGACGUCUGUACAUUUUUUUAAGAGGCUACAAAACACUUGAAAAAUUCAAAUUCUUCUUUCUUACGUGCUAUUACUUGAUUUCAAUUGGUAUCUGGCGAUUUUAAUUAGUAUCUGACUUCUUUCAUUCUUAUUCUCGCAGAUGGUGAGAACACGAGCAAAUAGAUCAAGAGUUGAGGUACCAAACUGCCUAUUGAGGCUAUGAUUUAGGUUAGAGGACAGGCAAUGGAAAGAUGGGGUAGAGGAAUGAGAGACUCACCCACUAGGGACAGAGCUCGAGCCAUGAGACCAGCUAGGGAGAGGUCAAUAUCUUCUUCUCCAUAUGAGAAAAUGCCUGAGAUAGUAGAGGAUAGGGCGAUAGCAAAACAGAAUGAGGGGAUACUAGUUCAUGAUGCGAAGGGAUGCCGGUUCAUGAUACAAUCAUACCAGUUCAGGGAGGUGCAACUCUAAUUCAAAUAUCUUCUGAUGAUUUAGUAGAUUUUGAGAUUUUGAGUGGGUUGGCAAAAACCAAGACUAUGGUCGUAAUACUUACAGUUCAACAUCUGAAGAUGCAGCAUGCUACUGUUGUAGCUUAUUAAAUGGAAGAUAUAUUAGGGUUGGGUAUUUUUUGAGAUAGGUUAUGGGCCCAUCAAUGACUGGAGAUUAGCACGAUCUAUUUGUAAGUUUAUCAAGAUGAAACCUCUUAUUUUUCAUGGCACUGAGUCUGAGGAUGUCUAUGAGUUUAUUAUUGAUUGUCAUGAAAGACUUCAAAAGAUGGUGUAGUUGAGAGGUAUAUGUAGAAUCGGUCACUUUUCAGUUUCGGGGAGAUGCCAAGAUGUGGUGAAGAGCUUAUGUAGAAUAUUGGGCUACGGGAUUGCCUCCAUUGACUUGGACUCAUUUUUUUUAGAGAAGUAUGUGCCUCAUACAUUGAGAAACAGGAAAAGGAGUAAGUUCACUAAUCUUGUGCAAGGAAGUAUGUUAUUUUUCGCCUAUGAGGAAACUUUUUAUUCAUUAUCUCGAUAUUCAUUUCAGCUACUAAAAACUAAGGAGUGCAUCUAUCUCUUUGUGAAGGGUUUGAAUAUAGGUCUCCAGAUUUUUCCUCUUCAAAUGACAUCUCAGGUAAGUCUUUUUAGGAGAUGCUUGAUUUUGUUAAGAGGGUGGAGGGGGCAAGGCAAGAGGAUUAUGCCAAAACGGCAAGAAAGAAGGCCCACAAAUGGGGUAAUUUUAGUGGUUCUUAUUCUAGGGGUCAAAGUUCAUAGGGAUACCCAGUGCGCCCCAUUCAGUUAGCGAUAUAGGUGUUUGGUAGGGGUUCGUCAAGGGCUAAACAACCAUCCUUAAACAACCAUCCUUAGACUUUGGAGUUACCUCACUCCAUAUUUAUCAGCUCAGCGACCCACCUUGGAUUAUAUAUGUUAUGAGUGCAAUAGAGUUGGUCACAUCGGGAGGUACUGUCCUAAUUAGAGGUAAUAUAUUUAGUCGGCCAGUAGUAGGCUCCUCGAGCUCUAGUUCCAACAGGUAGAGAAGGUGGUGGCAAUGGUAGAGGUUGUCCACAAGGUAAGUGUGGUGGUCAUCAGGCAGGUAAGGGUGGUAAUCAACCCCAUCGAGGUGGUUCUCACCUUGGAAGGGAUGACACUCAGACUGUGGUAAGGCUCAUAUCUAUUCUCUUCCAGGCAUUCCUAAAGUAGAGACAUCAGACACUAUUAUUACAGGUACUAUUCUUGUCUGUGACUGGAUGGCCACUGUAUUAUUUGAUCCUGGUUCUAUUUUCUCAUAUAUAUUUGCCGAUAUUUUUGUGGGGUUGGACGAAGUGUGUGAUCUACUUGACUUUCCUAUUUACUUGUCUACCUCUAUUGGUGAUUCUGUCGUUCUUGAUAGGGUUUAUGAUUCUUGUUAUGUUAUGUUUAUGGGGUAUCAAACUUAGGCAGAUUGUAUGAUUCUAGACAUGGUAGAUUUUGACAUAAUUUUGGAGAUGAGUUAUUUGUCUUCAUAUUAUGCAAUAUUAGGCUGUCAUGCUAAAAUAGUGACUGUGGCUAUGCCGGAAAUAGAUAGACUUAAGUGGGUGGGUGAUUAUUGUCCUGCUCCAAUAAAACUUAUUUCCUUUUAUGCAUGUAAAGAGAUUAAUUGGAAAGGGUAGUUCAACCUUCCUAGCGCAUCUUCAAGACACUACUGCAGAGGUCCAAUUUAUUGAGUUAAUUCUAGUGGUUUGUGAGUUUCAAGAAGUGUUUCCUGCAGAUUGGCUUGGCAUGCCACCAGACCGUGACAUUGAUUUUUGUAUAGAUCUAGAGCUAGGUACUCGUCAUAUUUCUAUUCCGCCCUAUAAGAUGGCUCCAGCUGAGUUAAGAGAGCUAAAGUCUUAGCUGCAGGAUGUGUUAGGUAAGGGAUUUAUCCAUCUGAGUAUCUCUCCAUAGGGUGCUCCUAUCCUAUUUGUGAAGAAAAAGGAUGGUAGUCUUCAUAUGUGUAUAGACUAUAGGUAUUUGAACAAGGUUACAAUAUGUAACAAGUAUCAUUUACCCCAUAUCGAUGAUUUUUUUUACCAGUUACAGGGUGCAACCAUAUUUUUCAAGAUUGAUUUGAGAUUCGGGUAUCAUCAACUUAAGAUUUGGGUUGACGAUAUUCCUAAAACUGUAUUUCAAACCAACUAUGGGCAAUAUGAGUGUUUUGUGAUGUCUUUUGGUCUGAUUAAUGCCCCAACUACUUUUAUGAGUUUGAUAAAGAGGAUAUUCAAACCCUACUUAGCUUCUUUCAUGGUUGUCUUUAUUGAUGAUAUUCUGGUUUAUUCUAAGAGUAAAGAGGAACAUGAGAUUUAAUUAAGUAUUAUUUUGGGUUUGUUAAAAUAGAAAAAGCUUUACGUGAAGUUUUCUAAGUGUGAAUUCUUAUUGGCUUCUAUAUUCUUUUUGGGCAUAUGGUUUUGAAGAAAAGGGUAAUGGUAGACCCAUAGAAUAUUGAAGUGGUUAAGAAUUGGUCUAGGCCUACUUCAGUGAUGGAGGUUCAUAGCUUUGUGGGGUUACCAAGUUAUUAUCAUAGGUUCGUGAAAGGGUUUGCUUCUAUUGAUACUCAUAGAUGCGGCUGACUCAGAAGGAUGUACCUUUUUAUUUGGUCUGAUAAGUGUGGGGAAAGCUUUCAAAACCUCAAGAUCUUAUUGACUACUACUCUUAUUCUUGUCUUACCUAUAGAGGUAAGGACUUUAUGAUUUAUUGUGAUGCCUUACGUUAUGGUUAGGUGCUUUUUUUAUGUAGAAAAGGAAUGUGAUUGCUUAUGCUUCGAGACAAUUGAAUCCUAAUGAGAGGAAUUAUCCUACUCAUGAUUUGGAGUUGGUUGUUAUAGCUUUUAUUCUUAAGAUAUAGAGGCGUCAUUUUUACGGGGAUCGUUGUGAAGUGUUCACUAAUCAUUGUAGUUUACAGCAUGUUUCACACAAAUAUAUUUGAAUUUGAGUCAACUUAUAUGAAUAGAGUUUCUUAAGGUUUAUGAUAUCGUCAUUCUAUACCAUCCGAGAAAUGUUAAUAUGGUAAUUGAUACAUUGAGUAGAAAGUCAGCAAGGAUGGGUAGCUUGGCUUACUUAAAUGCCACCAGACAUCCAUUGGCCAAAGAGAUUUAGAGUCUAGAUAAAAAGGUUUAACGACUUAAGGUGAUUCAGAGAGGGGAUUUCUAGCCUAUAUAAAGGCAAGGUCCACAUUUAUUGAUCAAAUCAAGGCUAAAUAAUUUGAGGAUGAUAAGUUGAGGAAGAUUCAUUAUAAGUUUUACAGGGUGAAGCCAAGGAGGCCGUUAUUGAUAUCGAAGGUGUGUUGCAGAUAAAGGGGUGAGUUUGUGUGCCCCAUGUUGAUGAUUUGUUUCUACUAUUCUAGCUGAGGCUCAUUGUUUGAAGUAUUCUAUACAUCAUGGAGCGACUAAAAUGUACCGUGAUUGACAUAGCAUUACCAGUAGGGUUGAAUGAAGCAUGAUAUAGUUGAAAUUUUUGUUAAAUGCCAGAGUUUCCAAUAUAUAAAGUACAAGCAUCAGAAGUCUGGUGAUACUCUUUAGAGAGUGCCUAAUUACUGAAUUGAAAUGGGUGAGGAAAGCUAUGGAUUUCGUUGUUGGUUUUCCCAAGACAUUUAAUAAGCAUGAUGCUAUAUGGGUUAUUUUUUAGGGUUGACUAAGUCUGUAUAUUUUAUUCCAGUUUAGGUAACUUAUAAUGCAACAAAGUUGGUCAAGAUUUAUCUUAAAGAGAUUGUGUGGUUGCAUGGGGUCCCGAUUUCUAUUAUCUCAAAUAGGGGUACUCAAUUUACCUCUAUCUUUUGGGAGACAUUUUAAGAGAAGUUGGGUACUAGUUUGGACCUUAGUACAACUUUUCACCCUUAGCCCAAUGGGCAGUUCGAGCAAAUGGUUCAGGUGUUGGAGGAUAUUCUUCAUGCGUGUGUGAUGGAUUUUGGAGGUCAUUGGGAUUAGUUCUUACCUUUAACUAAGUUUGCAUAUAAUAAUAGUCAUCAUUCGAGUAUUGAUAUGACGUCGUUUGAGGCUUUGUAUGAGAGGAGGUGUAGAACUCCUAUUAGGUGGUUUGAUUUCUUUGAGGUAAGACCGUGGGUACUGAUCUGUUAAGAGACUCAUUUGAGAGGUUUAGGUUCAUUUAAGAUAAUCUUAUAGUGGCUCAAAGCAGGCAAAGGUAGUAUGCGAAAUGAAAGGUGUAAGAAAUACACUUCAUGGAGGGUGAGUAGGUGUUUCUUAAGGUUUCACCUAUGAAGGGUGUCAUGCAUUUUGGAAAGAGAUGUAAACUUAGUCCUAGAUGUAUUAGGACAUUUAAGAUUCUUUAGCUCGUGGGGCCGAUGGCCUAUAGAUUGGCAUUGCCUCCGAGUUUGUCGGGAGUUCAUCCCGUAUUUCAUGUAUCUAUGUUGAAGAAGUUUCAUGGUGAUGGUAACUAGAUAAUUCAUUGGGAUUCUAUCUUGUUAGAUAAGGACCUCUCUUACGAAAAGGAACCUAUUACUUUUCUUAAUAGAGACGUUUGUAAGCUCAGGACUAAGAAGAUUGUGUCUGUGAAGGUCCAGUGAAAGAAUCAUCCUAUUAAGGAGGCUACAUAGGAGACUGGAGCGGACGUGCGUGACAAGUAUCCAUAUUUUUAACUAAUUCAGGUAACUCCUUGUUUUCCUUCUUGUUUCUUGUUGCCCGUUUAGGAAUGAAGAUUGUUUAAUUGAUAUCCGAUGUAACGACCUCUCUAGUCAUUUUUGUGAAUUUUACUUGUCUUUUCUAUUUUAGCUCUCCACGUAGUUUAUAUACGUGAAUUAUGAUUUACGUGAUGAAAUGUAUCAAUUCUUGAGGUGUUCGAAAGCAAUUUAAGUCAUUACUUAAGUUCUUGAAUUUUAAUAAUGUUAAACUUGAUCAUGGCCAAUCUUCGGUCAAGAUGACCCCGGAUUAGUGUUUUAGUGAUUCCGAUAGAUUGGAAUGUACUUUUUAGUCAAUUUACAUAGUUAAUUGAUUUUUAUGGACUUCCAAAAAAUUAUGAGGAUUUAUUUAAAAGUUUCAAGUGUUUUAGAUAAUUAAUUUAAUUAGUAAUUUAAUGGUCCAAACUCACAGUUACUUAUUUGGUUAAUGCAAGAAUAAACUUCAGCGGAAAAGGGUUUGGAAAUAAUAAUAACAAUAACAUCAUAUAUUUGGGGCAAGAGGGGGCCAUGACAGUGCAGUGGUAUUCUCUCUUCUUUUUUUUCUUCACAUCAUAGGCUUCGUAAAGAUCGACUGCUCAGUACAAUUUUAGGUUUGUCUAUAAAUUUCAUAGAUUUAUUUUUUCUUAGUGUUACGGUGAUAUACCAAUAAUGGUGAGGGUGAACAAAGAUCAAUGGUGCCGAUUAAUUACGAGGAAGUUUGUAACUCGUGGUUUUAGAUUGGUUUAACUACAAUGUAAAUUAUUCACUGGUGGGUUUAAUUUUGGGUAGGAAUUAAUGGGGUAUAUAAUGGUGCCAAUGAUGGUCAAUAAUGGUGUAGGUAAAGAGAAUGAGUAUUAUUUUGUCUUUAUUAAUAUUCCACUCAAGAAAUAUUUCAACUCUAUUAAUAAUAAUAAUUUAAUAAUAUUUGCAUGAAAAAACAACAACAAAUGAAAUCAAAGAGAAACUGCACGCACGGUACAUAAUAUGAUUCAUUGUUGUAUGUUUAGCUCCGGGUUACCAUAUUUCGCAUAUGAUUAUCCAUCACUAUUUUGACAACCCUAGGUUUUAGGCCUAAAAUUCUUAGAGUAGGAAUUUAUAAAAUAGGUGUCAUUAAAUUAAUACUCUUAUGGGUUAUGUAUUUUGACAGAUCUAAACCAUUCGAAAGCUUUAUGGAAGGGCAAGGCCCUUGCAAAAUAGCUUGCAUUCAGGUCCUUCGGUUGAGGUAGGUUACAGUUUAAUUAUAGUUUAGACUCGAUAAUUGUGUGUAUGUUCCUAAAUUGGAUGCUUGUUGAUUGGGCUUUGGACAUACUUGAAUUUGAUGAUCUUUGAAUUGUUGAUACUUGUAUGAAUAAAUUUAAAUUCGAACUUGAUCAAAUUCCCAUAUGAUUUUAAGUGCACUUGUAAAUUUAGUAAAAUAUAUAUAAUAUGGUUAUGGAGGAUCGGGUACCACGCCGGUAUGAAUAUGGAUAUUGAUAUUACUUAUUUAUGAAGAAUUGGGUACCACGUCGAUACUGUACAUGGACUUAGAUUAUUUCCUGUAAGUCAUGAUUAGUUGGAAAAAAUAAGUCUUUAGCAUGUGUGUAUAGACUAGUGUUGAUUUUGAGAGAUUGUAUAGUGUAAUAACCUGAUAAAAAGCUAAUGACGUUCUAAUUAGGAGGUUUAGAAGGACAUAGUUGUUACUUAUGAUAUUAUUAUUGAUUAUGUGGGUGUUUAUAGUAUGAUUGAUACUUUUGGUGGUUACAUGUCUUAUUUGUAAGCAUUAUUUGGCCCAUUAUUGAUGUAUUUUUUGAUUCACUGAAUACUUGCUAUGUGUUGAUGCAUGUCUACUUGUUAUUCAAUUUAUGUUGUACACAGUUAUACCUACCAGUACAUAGUAGUUUGUACUGAUACUACCAUGUACUCUUCUUUUGUUGAGUGCAGAAAGUGUUCCAGACGCUCAAACAUAACCUCAUCUCUAGCGUUUGAUAGCAGAUCUCGAUCCAAGGGUGAGAACUCUAUCUGCAGGCUGACAUGGAU
Molecule: long non-coding RNA, 19911 nt
Filed under: Capsicum annuum
Lineage: Eukaryota; Viridiplantae; Streptophyta; Magnoliopsida; Solanales; Solanaceae
Description: long non-coding RNA (CANN_LNC002963)
Source: RNAcentral